AUUGGCAAUGAUGACCCACUUGCCCUCACUGAGAACAAAGUUCAGUAAUGAGAAUCUUCGUUAUGGCCUAAAAUAAACAUAAUAAGUUCAAU
Small nucleolar RNA from Echinops telfairi (small Madagascar hedgehog), 92 nucleotides. RefSeq annotates it as small nucleolar RNA SNORD103/SNORD85. The record is from RefSeq and is a predicted model, not a curated record. The transcript has a single exon. NCBI's taxonomy places the organism in Eukaryota, Metazoa, Chordata, Mammalia, Afrosoricida, Tenrecidae.